AAAUAGAUACCCUGGUAGUCCACGCCGUAAACGAUGAGUGCUAAGUGUUAGAGGGUUUCCGCCCUUUAGUGCUGAAGUUAACGCAUUAAGCACUCCGCCUGGGGAGUACGGCCGCAAGGCUGAAACUCAAAGGAAUUGACGGGGGCCCGCACAAGCGGUGGAGCAUGUGGUUUAAUUCGAAGCAACGCGAAGAACCUUACCAGGUCUUGACAUCCUCUGACAACCCUAGAGAUAGGGCUUCUCCUUCGGGAGCAAAGUGACAGGUGGUGCAUGGUUGUCGUCAGCUCGUGUCGUGAGAUGUUGGGUUAAGUCCCGCAACGAGCGCAACCCUUGAUCUUAGUUGCCAUCAUUAAGUUGGGCACUCUAGGGUGACUGCCGGUGACAAACCGGAGGAAGGUGGGGAUGACGUCAAAUCAUCAUGCCCCUUAUGACCUGGGCUACACACGUGCUACAAUGGACGGUACAAAGAGCUGCAAGACCGCGAGGUGGAGCUAAUCUCAUAAAACCCGUUCUCAGUUCGGAUUGUAGG
RNAcentral lists this ribosomal RNA (529 nucleotides) under uncultured bacterium. RNAcentral's name for it is "bacterial SSU rRNA". It matches the Rfam family "Bacterial small subunit ribosomal RNA", at positions 776 to 1304 of the family's 1533-position model. The record is from RNAcentral.